GAUGAACGCUGGCGGCGUGCCUAAUACAUGCAAGUCGAGCGAACGGACGAGAAGCUUGCUUCUCUGAUGUUAGCGGCGGACGGGUGAGUAACACGUGGUUAACCUACCUAUAAGACUGGGAUAACUUCGGGAAACCGUAGCUAAUACCGGAUAAUAUUUUGAACCGCAUGGUUCAAAAGUGAAAGACGGUCUUGCUGUCACUUAUAGAUGGAUCCGCGCUGCAUUAUCUAGUUGGUAAGGUAACGGCUUACCAAGGCAACGAUGCAUAGCCGACCUGAGAGGGUGAUCGGCCACACUGGAACUGAGACACGGUCCAGACUCCUACGGGAGGCAGCAGUAGGGAAUCUUCCGCAAUGGGCGAAAGCCUGGCGGAGCAACGCCGCGUGAGUGAUGAAGGUCUUCGGAUCGUAAAACUCUGUUAUUAGGGAAGAACAUAUGUGUAAGUAACUGUGCACAUCUUGACGGUACCUAAUCAGAAAGCCACGGCUAACUACGUG
Molecule: ribosomal RNA, 497 nt
Filed under: uncultured bacterium
Lineage: Bacteria
Description: partial 16S ribosomal RNA
Rfam family: Bacterial small subunit ribosomal RNA
Source: RNAcentral